Molecule: non-coding RNA, 244 nt
Filed under: Ruminococcus flavefaciens
Lineage: Bacteria; Bacillati; Bacillota; Clostridia; Eubacteriales; Oscillospiraceae
Description: T-box sequence
Rfam family: T-box leader
About the family: Uncharged tRNA acts as the effector for transcription antitermination of genes in the T-box leader family. T-boxes are found upstream of many aminoacyl-tRNA synthetase genes and some amino acid biosynthetic genes usually in Gram-positive bacteria.
Source: RNAcentral
GCAUAAGCUAUGAGGAAGACAAGCAGAGGAUUGCCAAUGUCUGCAGAGAGCCGGCGGUAGGUGUGAGUCGGUGAUAUGCAAUGCUAUGUAUCCCUUCUGAGCCGGAAUGCCGAAAAUUUCAGUAAGCGUUCCCGUGAUUCUGCGUGAAUGAAUAGGACUUGCUGGAGUCUGAAGUGGUGUUACGCAAUAGCGGCACAAUUUGAGUGGUACCGCGGGUAAUCAGAUCAUGAUACUCGUCUCAAAG